This 85-nucleotide small RNA is filed under the name Sinorhizobium meliloti 2011. RNAcentral's name for it is "putative ncRNA". The record is from RNAcentral. Lineage: Bacteria; Pseudomonadati; Pseudomonadota; Alphaproteobacteria; Hyphomicrobiales; Rhizobiaceae.
ACGGAUCUAUAAAACUCAGAGACCUGGCGCCUUCCACAUGGCCGUGGUGACGCCCUCGUCCACGAGCUGUCGCUGCAGCGCGUAG